RNAcentral lists this ribosomal RNA (3112 nucleotides) under Candidatus Saccharimonadota bacterium. RNAcentral's name for it is "bacterial LSU rRNA". It matches the Rfam family "Bacterial large subunit ribosomal RNA". Lineage: Bacteria; Candidatus Saccharimonadota. The record is from RNAcentral.
GAAUACAUAGGGUAAGGAGUAGGUUACCGCCUGAACUGAAACAUCUUAGUAGGGCGAGGAAGAGAAAGUAAACAACGAUUCCGGUAGUAGUGGCGAGCGAAUCCGGAACAGCCCAAACCUUAUUUGCUUUUGUUUACCAGUUUACUGGUAAGCAAAUAAGUUGGUAGACGAAUGUAAAUAAGGGGUUGUGACAUUGCAAACAUCCUUGUGUGGGAGCUGGUUCGCCAGCGUCCACACGAGGCAGUAGGUGCUACCAAUAGCCUACAUAAGGUCAGAAAUUAGCAUUGCGAGCAGAACAAGUUGGAAAGCUUGGCCAUAGACAGUGAUAGCCUGGUACGCCAAGUGAUGCUAACCUUAUAUUUGCAAAGAAUUUACUGCGAUUCACGCACUUUAUGUGCGGGGAUUACAGUAAAUUCGGUUGUCGAGUAGGUCGGGACACGUGAAACCCUGACUGAAUCUGGGGGGUCCACCCUCCAAGGCUAAAUAUAUUACAUGAUCGAUAGAGAACAAGUACCGUGAGGGAAAGGUUAAAAGAACCCCGGGAGGGGAGUGAAAUAGAACCUGAAAUUGUGUGCGUACAAGGAGUCGGAGCCCUUCGGGGUGACGGCGUGCUUUUUGUAGAACGAUCCAACGAGUUAUUUGCAUGCGCAAGCUUAAGUCAAUUGACGGAGGCCUAGCGAAAGCGAGUCUGAAUAGGGCGAACUAGUGCAUGUGAAUAGACCCGAAACCAGGUGACCUAACCAUGGGCAGGCUGAAGCGCAGGUAAAACUGCGUGGAGGGCCGAACCGUAGCGAGUUGCAACACGCCCGGAUGACCUGUGGUUAGCGGUGAAAUGCCAAUCGAACCUGGAGAUAGCUGGUUCUCCUCGAAAUAGCUUUAGGGCUAGCGUGACGUGGUAGCUGGUAGGGGUAGAGCUCUGUUUCGGAAUGGGGGUCGCAAGAUUACCCACCCUUGACAAACUACGAAUACUAUCAGUGGAAUCGUUGCAGUUAGAACGGCGGGGCUAAGCUCGUCGCUCGAAAGGAAAACAGUCCAGAUCGCCAUCUAAGGUCCCUAAGUCUAUGCUAAGUGGGAAACGAGGUGAGAUUUCUUAAACAACUAGGAUGUUGGCUUAGAAGCAGCCAUUCAUUUAAAGAGUGCGUAACAGCUCACUAGUCAAGAGAUCUUGCGCGGAAAAUGUAACGGGGCUAAGCAUAGCACCGAAGAUGCGAACUUCUAGUUUACUAGGAGUGGUAGAGGAGCGUUCCUCUCUGCGUUGAAGUCGAAUCGUGAGGUUCGGUGGAGCGUGAGGAAGUGAGAAUGUUGGAAUGAGUAACCACAAGGCAGGUGAGAAUCCUGCCCGCCGAAAGAGCAAGGUUUCCUGGGCCACGGUAAUCGUCCCAGGGUUAGUCGGUCCUAAGCCGAGGCGCGUAGCGUAGGCGAUGGACAACAGGUUAAUAUUCCUGUACUGGCAUGUAUUUGUUAUAUGUGCGCGGCAUAUUAGUCAGAGCGGAUUCAUGGUUAUAUCCGUCUAAGUAGGAGAAAUGCCUACGAAUGAAACGACCUUUAGGUCGAAUUUUGGCAAAGGUGCUGACUAGAAAAGCAAUAUAACGCGUGGUACAUGCCAUCCGUACCGCAAACCGACACAGGUGCUCAGGUCGAGAAGACCAAGGCGUACGAGUGAUUCUUCGUUAAGGAACUCGGCAAACAAGCGACCGUAACUUAGGGAUAAGGUCUGCCCCUCACUGAAAACAGUGAGAGCCGUGCAAAGUUCUUACACGUAGAUUUAGAACGAAAUCUUAAAUUUGAGAGCUUAGCGCGAUCGUACUCGCACUGUAUUCAGUGAGGGGCCGCAGCUAAGGAACCCAUGCAACUGUUUACCAAAAACAUAGGUCUGUGCUAACACGAAAGUGGAUGUAUACGGGCUGACGCCUGCCCAGUGCUGGAAGGUUAAGGGGAGUUGUGUAUGCAGCGAACUGAAGCCCCAGUGAACGGCGGCGGUAACUAUAACCGUCCUAAGGUAGCGAAAUUCCUUGUCAGGUAAGUUCUGACCCGCACGAAUGGCGUAAUGAUAUGGGUACUGUCUCAACGAAGAGCUCGGUGAAAGUGCAUUGACGGUAAAGAUGCCGUCUGUCCGCAGCAGGACGAAAAGACCCCGUGCAGCUUUACUACAGCUUGGCAUUGAGCCGGGUUAUAACAUGUGUAGUAUAGGUGAGAGGCUUUGAAGCUUAGACGCUAGUCUAGGUGGAGCCACCAGUGAAAUAUCACCCUUGUUAUGAUCUUGUUCUUACCGGGCCCGCAAAUUGGUAAUGAGACAAAACUACGUUUUUUCUCAUCGUGCCAGGUCGCGAAAUAAAUUCGCCGACUUGGACUGCUCUUUUUCCUUAAAAGAAGGAGAGUGUUCGAUGAAAAUAGAGGAGUUUUGGGCAUCUCGUUGUCGGUUUCCGGGUUCGGGACCGUGUCUGGUGGGUAGUUUAACUGGGGCGGUUGCCUCCUAAAGAGUAUCGGAGGCGUUCAAAGGUUGGCUAGGUUCGGAUGGAAAUCGAAUCGAUAGUGUAUACGCAUAAGCCAGCUUGACUGUGAGGCCUACAAGCCGAGCAGGGACGAAAGUCGGAGUAAGUUUUCCGCUGUCAGUACAUUUGUACAAGAGUGUGGUAUCGGCAGCGCUUUCGGAUAAAAGUUACGCCGGGGAUAACAGGCUUAUAGCGCCCAAUAGUUCACAUAGACGGCGCUGUUUGGCACCUCGAUGUCGGCUCAUCUCAUCCUGGGGCUGGAGCAGGUCCCAAGGGUCCGGCUGUUCGCCGGUUAAAGAGGUACGUGAGCUGGGUUCAGAACGUCGUGAGACAGUUCGGUUUAUAUCCGCUGUGGACGCAAGGAAAUUUGAGAGGAUCUACCCCUAGUACGAGAGGACCGGGGCGGACGCACCGCUGGUGUAUCGGUUGUUCUACCAAGAGCAUUGCCGAGUAGCUAUCGUGCGGAAUAGAUAAGCGCUGAAAGCAUAUUAAGCGCGAAACUAGCCUCAAGAUUAGAUUUCCCUAUGAUCCCCCAGAAAGACUAUCUGGUUGAUAGGCGCAAGAUGGAAGUAUGGCAACAUAUGUAGUCGAAGCGUACUAAUAGGGACAUUGACUUUUUA